Molecule: long non-coding RNA, 979 nt
Organism: Mirounga angustirostris (Northern elephant seal)
Lineage: Eukaryota; Metazoa; Chordata; Mammalia; Carnivora; Phocidae
Exons: 5
Source: RefSeq, a predicted model, not a curated record
ACUGUUGAAUCACAGAUCUGUACCUCUGAAACAAAUAAUACAUUAUAUGUUAAAAAAAAAAAAAAGAAGAAGAUAGCAGGAGGGGAAGAAUGAAGGGGGGAAAUCAGAGGGGGGAUGAAACAUGAGUGAAUCCUCAGAGAUAUAAGUGAUAUAGAAUUAAUUUGUUCUUUACCUCUAAAAAUGCUAGUCCAGACUUUCUGGCACCAAUUCCUUAAGUUUGAAAUAACAUGUAAUAAAAAUACCUGCACUGUGUUCACUUUGUAAAGUGUCUUUGUUUUAAUUUUAGAAUCCAGUGCAGGAAAGGGGCAAGAAGUAGUGACAAGAGCUGGCAAAUGGAGGAAAGGGAUGCCAAACCCAUGGCAGACCUUUAGCAAAGAGAGGAGCAUCUUGAGGCUGUGGAUUCUACUGAUGUUUCUGGGCCUUGGUGCUUCUCAGAUGGUGUUUUGAAAAGGAAGAAACUGCAUGGGUAUUUUGUUGAUCUACCUAAGUUCAGGACUAAGCUUCAGUGAUAACCUCCCAGAGGGGCUGAUGAUCUCAGGUGGCACUUCUACUUGAUGCCCCAAAACAUCAAGACCCACGACAGGAUGGAUAUUGGGACCACAAAUUAUGAGUAGUAUGCCAAUGUUACUGUUGCCCAACCUAAAUCUCACAAGAGACAAAGGAAAAUAACAGCACCAGGCUGAGAGAAAAACAUCAAACUCCAUUUGAAGGACAUUGUGGAAAAUACCUGACCAGUACCUCUUCAAAUACCUGAGUGCCUUAAAACUGUCAAUGUCACCAAAAACAAGGAAAGUGAGAUACUGCCAUAGUCAAGAGGAACCUAAGGAGCCAUGAUGACCAAAUGGGAUUCUGGAACAGUAAAAGGACAUCUAGUAAACACUAAGAAAUCCAAAUGAAGUAUGAACUUUGGUUAAUGAUGUAUCAGUAUUGAUCCAUCAGUCAUAACGUAUGUACCAUACUAAUGUAAGAUGUUAAUAAA